This is a long non-coding RNA of Cyprinus carpio (common carp), 1123 nucleotides long. Lineage: Eukaryota; Metazoa; Chordata; Actinopteri; Cypriniformes; Cyprinidae. The record is from Ensembl.
CCUUUCUGUCUGGGAGCUUCCAUGUGGACCGAGAGAGGAGGAGAGAGGGAGGAAACAGAGGAUGCAGACAGCAACACAGAGGAGACACAGAGCGCAGGAGGAGGGAAAGUAACUGAUGGAGAGAAAGUGAGAGAGAGAGAGAGAGAGAGAGAGAGAGAGAUGGAGUGAGCAGCUCUGAACAACACUGAGAGCUCGGGAGGGAAGAUGCCAGACAAAAUAUGAAGAAAGACCUGAGUCUAUUAAAAAUGGCAAGAAAAACCGAACAUAGAUUCUGAAACGGGAGACGUUGAAGGUAAAUUCAGGAUGUCUGGGGAUUUUUAAAGUCGUCUAGUCUUCCGGACGUUAAUCGUAGAUGCUGUGAUUCCCUUGGACGUUUGUCAGAUGGGAUUUCCUGCUCUCUUCUGGAACUAUCUGCAUGUUUUCUUGCCCUCCAACCUUUAAAGUUCUCCUGUUUUCCCUGUUACCCGAUCUUCAAGUCAUCAUUUUCAGUUGAAAGAGGACCAGUCUUCCAUUCUUGCAAAAACAACACCACCGUCAAGCAGCUUCAUCACUCAGCACAGAUAACAAGCCUGUACUAACUGGAUUCUCGAGGUUCCAGAAACAAUCUGAGCUCGGGAUAAACAAGCCUGUGACAGAACUGGACCAGGCCAACAAAAGGGUGCAGGGGGAGUGGACCGGGACCCAGGCCGCGUGGGGCUUCCAGCGGUUCUUUCAGGUCCUGCAGGGAUGGAUGCAACGGCAGAAUAGAAAACAGGACGGGACGUUUCUGCUGUCCCACUGGUACAAUGCGUGGUCUUCUUCAUUUCUAGAAGCCAUUUGGCUGUUGUGCAGGGUUACUGAAUGUCCCUCUGAGCCUCACAAGGUGUUUGGGCCAUGUGCAAGUGCCUUUCUGACUGGGCCUAGAGCAAGGAGGUGCCACUUGUAUUUCCCCCUAAUUGGGUUGGAAAUAAUCGCGUUUCACUGCUGAAUGGCUAAGCCAUAGCAGAGUGGAGAGAGGGUGACAAGCUUGUCUCACAGAGUCUCAUGGGUCCUUAUGGUUCUGCAACAGCUGCUCGGCUUAGUGCUGCUAACCUCCAGCCAUCUUCUGUGACGAAAACAACAAAUAAAUACUUGAGAAGGUGCA